GACAGAGGGUGCAAACGUUGUUCGGAUUUACUGGGCGUAAAGCGCGUGUAGGCGGCCUUGCAAGUCGGAUGUGAAAGCCCACGGCUCAACCGUGGAAGUGCAUCCGAAACUGCAUAGCUUGGGUCUCGGAGAGGAAGGUGGAAUGCUUGGUGUAGAGGUGAAAUUCGUAGAUAUCAAGCAGAACACCUGCGGCGAAGGCGGCCUUCUGGACGAUGACUGACGCUGAGACGCGAAAGCGUGGGGAGCAAACAGG
RNAcentral lists this ribosomal RNA (253 nucleotides) under uncultured bacterium. RNAcentral describes it as "partial 16S ribosomal RNA". It matches the Rfam family "Bacterial small subunit ribosomal RNA", at positions 524 to 776 of the family's 1533-position model. The record is from RNAcentral.